GGCUGGGCAGUGUUUGCAAAGACUGUCACUGUGUCUGGCAUAUAUAAGUAAGCGAUAGAGAAAUUAAAGUACAACCACAUGGUUGUUUUUCCCCCCAUGUUAGUGAUGGAACCCACUGCCCUGUGCAUGCAACGUGAGCGACAUACCACUGAGCUGUACCCCAACCCCUCACUUAGUUUAAAAUAUACCCCACGUGGAGAAUGAUGGUCACCAGGCUGGGCACAGCUAAUCAAACCAAAGCCUCAGUCCUGGUACCCAAGAAUUACCAGCACUUAAGUCUAUGAGAGGGUCGGUCCUGCCCUGUCUGCCAUGGCUCCUCCAUACCGCCUUCACACUGGCAUCUGAAAGACUCUGCGAUCAGACAUAAAGCGGUAAGAGAAAAAGAUGAAGGGAAAUGCCUGAGGUUGAAACUGCAGGGCAGCCUCUUCUAGGAAGAUGUGGGUAAUGCUGAUUGUUUGUUUGUUUGUUGUUGUUUUGGUCUUUUGAGAUAAGGCUUCUCUAUGUCGCUCUGGCUGGCCUUGAACUCAGAAAUUCACCUGCCUCUGCCUCCCAAGUGCUGGGAGUAAAGGUGUGCGCCACCACACUUGACCCUUAUACAUGCUUGUUCUGAGAAUUGUUAGGGAUUGAACCUGGAGCCUCAGGCAUGGGAAACAUGUGCUGAACCCCUAAGCUGCACCCUCUUUGUGAAUGGUAAAUGUAGGAGAGAGAGAGAGAGAGAGAGAGAGAGAGAGAGAGAGAGAGAGAGAGAGAGCACAAUAAGUAUCCAUGAGCAGGUGGCUCAGAUGCCUGAAGGUCUUUGAAGUUCACCCCUGCAGCAUCCUCUGAAGAGCAGUGAGAACCCCAGAUGUGACCAUCUAAGGCUUUAGCAACCAAUGAAAAUCCUGAAUAUACCUCAGGCACCUACAGCCCAGGGGCAAAGACGUGCAGGCAGAGACCAACUCAUGCCUCUGGCUAUUACUGGCAGUUUGAGAAUUCCAGAUGGCAAGAGUGAUCGAUAAUGGAAAAAAAUGGGUAGCUUUAAAAUUUAUUAUAAUGAGUAUUUAUGCUUACCAAGCAGAAAAAAAACA
RNAcentral lists this long non-coding RNA (1067 nucleotides) under Mus musculus (house mouse). RNAcentral describes it as "long non-coding RNA chr1:178505510-178506577". Lineage: Eukaryota; Metazoa; Chordata; Mammalia; Rodentia; Muridae. The record is from RNAcentral.